This 133-nucleotide ribosomal RNA is filed under the name uncultured bacterium. RNAcentral describes it as "partial 16S ribosomal RNA". It matches the Rfam family "Bacterial small subunit ribosomal RNA", at positions 378 to 525 of the family's 1533-position model. The record is from RNAcentral.
GAAGCCUGACGGAGCGACGCCGCGUGAGUGAAGAAGGCCUUCGGGUUGUAAAACUCUGUCUUCGGGGAAGAAAAAAAUGACGGUACCCGAGGAGGAAGCCCCGGCUAACUACGUGCCAGCAGCCGCGGUAAUA